UGCAGUCGACGAUGAAGCCUUUCGGGGUGGAUUAGUGGCGAACGGGUGAGUAACACGUGGGCAAUCUGCCCUUCACUCUGGGACAAGCCCUGGAAACGGGGUCUAAUACCGGAUAAUACUUCUGCCUGCAUGGGUGGGGGUUGAAAGCUCCGGCGGUGAAGGAUGAGCCCGCGGCCUAUCAGCUUGUUGGUGGGGUAAUGGCCUACCAAGGCGACGACGGGUAGCCGGCCUGAGAGGGCGACCGGCCACACUGGGACUGAGACACGGCCCAGACUCCUACGGGAGGCAGCAGUGGGGAAUAUUGCACAAUGGGCGAAAGCCUGAUGCAGCGACGCCGCGUGAGGGAUGACGGCCUUCGGGUUGUAAACCUCUUUCAGCAGGGAAGAAGCGCAAGUGACGGUACCUGCAGAAGAAGCGCCGGCUAACUACGUGCCAGCAGCCGCGGUAAUACGUAGGGCGCAAGCGUUGUCCGGAAUUAUUGGGCGUAAAGAGCUCGUAGGCGGCUUGUCACGUCGGAUGUGAAAGCCCGGGGCUUAACCCCGGGUCUGCAUUCGAUACGGGCUAGCUAGAGUGUGGUAGGGGAGAUCGGAAUUCCUGGUGUAGCGGUGAAAUGCGCAGAUAUCAGGAGGAACACCGGUGGCGAAGGCGGAUCUCUGGGCCAUUACUGACGCUGAGGAGCGAAAGCGUGGGGAGCGAACAGGAUUAGAUACCCUGGUAGUCCACGCCGUAAACGUUGGGAACUAGGUGUUGGCGACAUUCCACGUCGUCGGUGCCGCAGCUAACGCAUUAAGUUCCCCGCCU
Molecule: ribosomal RNA, 801 nt
Filed under: Streptomyces sp.
Lineage: Bacteria; Bacillati; Actinomycetota; Actinomycetes; Kitasatosporales; Streptomycetaceae
Description: bacterial SSU rRNA
Rfam family: Bacterial small subunit ribosomal RNA
Source: RNAcentral